RNAcentral lists this ribosomal RNA (253 nucleotides) under uncultured bacterium. Its description in RNAcentral is "partial 16S ribosomal RNA". It matches the Rfam family "Bacterial small subunit ribosomal RNA", at positions 524 to 776 of the family's 1533-position model. The record is from RNAcentral.
UACGAAGGGGGCUAGCGUUGCUCGGAAUCACUGGGCGUAAAGGGUGCGUAGGCGGGUCUGUGAGUCAGGGGUGAAAUCCUGGAGCUCAACUCCAGAACUGCCUUUGAUACUGAAGAUCUUGAGUUCGGGAGAGGUGAGUGGAACUGCGAGUGUAGAGGUGAAAUUCGUAGAUAUUCGCAAGAACACCAGUGGCGAAGGCGGCUCACUGGCCCGAUACUGACGCUGAGGCACGAAAGCGUGGGGAGCAAACAGG